Small nucleolar RNA from Nymphaea colorata (pocket water lily), 93 nucleotides. RefSeq annotates it as small nucleolar RNA snoR1. The transcript has a single exon. Lineage: Eukaryota; Viridiplantae; Streptophyta; Magnoliopsida; Nymphaeales; Nymphaeaceae. The record is from RefSeq and is a predicted model, not a curated record.
UGCUAUGAUGAUUGUUGCUUCUUCUGACACCUCUUGUAUGAGAAUAACCUUACUGAGUUGUUCCUUGAGCACAUAUAAGCGACUCUCUGAGCC